This 479-nucleotide ribosomal RNA is filed under the name uncultured bacterium. Its description in RNAcentral is "bacterial SSU rRNA". It matches the Rfam family "Bacterial small subunit ribosomal RNA", at positions 29 to 507 of the family's 1533-position model. The record is from RNAcentral.
ACGAACGCUGGCGGCGUGCCUAAACACAUGCAAGUCAACUUGACUGAAGGAGCAAUCUGACAGUAGAGUGGCGCAAGGGUGCGUAACGCGUAAGUAACUUGCCCAAGGUAAGGAAUAACGUCGAGAAAUCGGCGCUAAUACCUCAUAAUGCAGCGGAUCCGCAUGGAUAUGUUGUUAAAGGUUUACCGCCUUGGGAUAGGCUUGCGUCUGAUUAGCUAGUUGGUGUGGUAACGGCACACCAAGGCUACGAUCAGUAACUGGUCUGAGAGGAUGAUCAGUCACACUGGAACUGAGACACGGUCCAGACUCCUACGGGAGGCAGCAGUGAGGAAUAUUGGGCAAUGCUCGAAAGAGUGACCCAGCAACGCCGCGUGGAGGAUGAAGGUAUUCUAUAUCGUAAACUCCUGUGAGAGCAGACGAAAGACAGAUUAUUAAUCUGGAUGACUGUAUGCUCAGAGGAAGCCCCGGCUAACUACGUG